RNAcentral lists this transfer RNA (72 nucleotides) under Thermoplasmata archaeon. Its description in RNAcentral is "tRNA-Thr". It matches the Rfam family "tRNA". Rfam says of the family: Transfer RNA (tRNA) molecules are approximately 80 nucleotides in length. The record is from RNAcentral. RNAcentral also lists the same sequence under 1 other name. Lineage: Archaea; Methanobacteriati; Thermoplasmatota; Thermoplasmata.
GCCGUUGUAGCUCAGUGGCAGAGCGGCUGAUUCGUAAUCAGCAGGUCGGGGGUUCAAUCCCCUCCAACGGCU